CCUACGGGUGGCAGCAGUGGGGAAUAUUGCACAAUGGGGGAAACCCUGAUGCAGCGACGCCGCGUGAGUGAAGAAGUAUCUCGGUACGUAAAGCUCUAUCAGCAGGGAAGAAAAUGACGGUACCUGACUAAGAAGCCACGGCUAACUACUUGCCAGCUGCCGCGGUAAUACGUAGGGGGCAAGCGUUAUCCGGAUUUACUGGGUGUAAAGGGAGCGUAGGCGGCAGCACUAGUCUGGAGGGAAAGCCCGGGGCGUAACCCCGGAACUGCUUUGGAAACUGGGCGGCUGGAGUGCAGGAGGGGUAAGCGGAAUGCGUGGUGUAGCGGUGAAAUGCGUAGAUAUUAGGAGGAACACCGGUGGCGAAGGCGGCUUACUGGACUGUAACUGACGUUGAGGCUCGAAAGCGUGGGUAGCAAACAGGAUUAGAUACCCGGGUAGUC
Molecule: ribosomal RNA, 440 nt
Filed under: uncultured bacterium
Lineage: Bacteria
Description: partial 16S ribosomal RNA
Rfam family: Bacterial small subunit ribosomal RNA
Source: RNAcentral